AGCAGCAAUGCAUUGGUCUUAA
Molecule: non-coding RNA, 22 nt
Filed under: Arabidopsis thaliana (thale cress)
Lineage: Eukaryota; Viridiplantae; Streptophyta; Magnoliopsida; Brassicales; Brassicaceae
Source: RNAcentral